CUCACAGCGAGCCACGUCACUGCGUUAAAAGUGUGGCCAGACCGACACGCCCCGCGCCCUUCCUCUCCAGACGCCACGCCCGAACGGACAUCGAUCGCCUGCUGCCCUUCCUCGCGAGGAUGACGCGCGCGGACCCUCGCCCCCAUCGAUCUGUGCUGCCUUCCUCGCUAGAUCGACGCGCGCGGACCCUCCCCCAUCCAUCUCUGCUGCCCUGCUCGCCAGAUGGGCCGACACCGGCUGACUCUCUUCCUCUUCCUCGCAUACCCAGCGAUCUCUUCCCCACCACGGAUCCGCCUCCGUUCAUCUUCGUCCAUCACCACCGCUCGCACGACUCCACCUCCGUUCCUCCUCCCCACGAAUGUACCGCCGCGACUUAAUCAAAGCACCUCAUAAAUUUGAGCAUUAAACAACUGGAAACUGCUCAAUGAAAAUCAUCCAUCAUCGAUGUUGCCUCCAGGUUAAAAAGCAGGGCAUGGUACCAUCCGCAUCCGCACCAAUGACACCAGUUUGCUCGCGCCGCCACCACGCCCAGCAGCCUUCGAUUGAGAUCCGGAUGGGAUUCCGCUUGAUGUUCUGCCCCUUCACCUGAUUCCAAUGGAUUAUGUCUGCUGCUACCUCAGGAUGCACACUUCUUAUAGAUAAAUUCGUCCCGUUUGGACCUGUACCGUGCAAACUAUCUUUGGUAGUCUUGAGAGAUAAAGACGUUGAUUUAUCCGUGCCUUUUAAUUAUUUGAAUAGUGUAUGUCAUUUAGAAGAAGCAACGGAAGAAACCGUCAUGGUAAAUAAGACAUGGGAAGUGAGAUUCAUAAAAAAACUCAGUAAUAACUUUACUGCUACCUCCAGUUGUUUAUCUGAUCCCUACUAUGAUUUAUUUUUCAUUGUCAGCCUUCCAGGUGCCUCAAUCGGUCCAUAAUGUAGGCAACAACUAAAGAUGUAUUUGUAUUCUAUCGAAUAACAGUGGUUCACUUAGUAGUCAGUAUACUCCACGAGCAAUCUCUCUUUCUUCCAGGAGCAUAAGUUAGCAAGAAGAUAUAUUGUAGUCUUUCACAGCUUGCUUUUUGUCGUCCUAAAGCACAUGUUUUUAAUCCGAUGGUAUAGAACUACUGAUCUUCUUCUCCAUGCCUUAUACUUCUAUUAUUUCGCAUAGCCUUUUGCAUGAUACCGGUGAUCUGAUAAUGCAUCCUACCUUGCUGCAGCGCUAUUGCUGUGGUAAAUUGUAUUGAUCAUUUCAUUAUUACCUGUAAAAUAUACUUAAUGUUAUCUUUCUUUAUUUUCACCUCAAGAUGCAUAUAAAGUUCUUGAGGAUUCAUAUUGUAAUGCUUCUUCUGUCAACUUUGUGCAAUAUUGUUCAUGCCAUCCCUGGAACGAUCCAUCCCAGUUUGAUAUAUACUUCUUUUGUCCCUUGAUAUUUGUUUGGCUUCAGACAACACAUGACACCCCAAUCUGAGUAUCUACUUGAUUGAGUUAACAAAGGUUAGCACACAUGUAUACUGGGUAUGACGCAUUGUGUCAAAAACUCAUGUCCUAGGUUAUUUCUACCCAGGUUUCUAAACACAUGAUUUUGCAUUCAUUCCAAAUACAAAUCAACUAGGUAUGCGUCUGUAAAAGCAUUAACUAGGUAUGCUAGGUCAUGUCUUUAUAGUCUAUGUAUACUAACCCAUAUAUAUUUAUUUAUGACAUUGCUGCUUUUAGGUCUGCAACAAAUUAUGUAAUCUUAUGCAAUUCAGUUUUCAUCGGUUUACUGACUCAUAAAUGUAUUUUUUCGUGUAGACUUUUCUCUACUGAACCUAUGGUGAUGUGAUUUCAGAAAGUAAAGUGCAGAAAUUUGGUGAACAUGGUAAACAGUCUGAUUUUAGACAUAAGGCCGUCAGAUUCCGCAUGUUUUGGGCUCAUUAGACAUAAACAACUGACAUCGCUAGCUACUCCAAUUUGUGCAAUUGUUUUCUAAAAUUAGUUCUGAACUCCGUUAUCAUUCAGAUGUGUGUUAUGUUCUUUAUCUUGAGAACUAUCUAUCGUUCCCCACUUUUAUAUGUCUUAAUUUGGUUCAGACAUACCUUUUGCAUGAUCUAUAACGCUUUGCAAUUGUUCU
Long non-coding RNA from Lolium perenne, 2089 nucleotides. RefSeq lists it as uncharacterized. NCBI's taxonomy places the organism in Eukaryota, Viridiplantae, Streptophyta, Magnoliopsida, Poales, Poaceae. The record is from RefSeq and is a predicted model, not a curated record.